This 489-nucleotide ribosomal RNA is filed under the name uncultured bacterium. RNAcentral's name for it is "bacterial SSU rRNA". It matches the Rfam family "Bacterial small subunit ribosomal RNA", at positions 27 to 507 of the family's 1533-position model. The record is from RNAcentral.
GGAGAACGGCUGGCGGGCGUGGAUUAGGCAUGCAAGUCGAACGGUAGGAUACCUUCGGGUAUCUGAGAGUGGCGAACGGGUGAGUAACACGUAGGUGAUCUACCCUCAAGAUUGGGACAACCCAGGGAAACUUGGGCUAAUACCGGAUGAAAGCAGCAGUGAUGUUGUUUGAAAGGUGGCGUAAGCUGCCGUUUGGGGAUGAGCCUGCGCUCUAUUAGUUAGUUGGCGGGUAAAGGCCCACCAAGGCGAUGAUAGAUAGGCGGCCUUAACGGGUGGUCACCCACACUGGGAUUGAGAUACGGCCCAGACUCCUACGGGAGGCAGCAGUCGAGAAUAGUCUACAAUGGCCGAAAGGCUGAUAGUGCGACGCCGCGUGAACGAAGAAGCCCUUCGGGGUGUAAAGUUCUUUUAUAUGUGAGCAGUGCUUUCUAUGUGAACAGCAUGGGGAGAGAGAUAUUAGCAUAUGAAUAAGCAACGGCUAACUCCGUG